CACCAGACUACAGUGCAGCUGAACCAAAGAAGAGUUAAACAAAACCCCACAGAGAAAAUUAGCAAGAUUGCAAAGCUGUGCAUUUCCAAGGAUCCAGACCCGGGAAGGGCUGAGCCUCCUCAGCUCCCCUUGCUUGCAGCAAAUAUACUGACUGUGGGGUUUGAAGAUAUCUGCAUCAUGCCGUGGCAGUGAGAGAUGACGAUACUCAGCAUGAUUCGGGUGCAGGUUGGGUGACUCUCUGAAGCCGAGGCCAAACACCCGGAUCCUGGUGCAGUCAGAGGCACGGACGUCGCAGAGGCCCCCGUUCUCUAAGCCUGUGAUCUCCAAAGCUUGUUCUGAAAGGGGACUGAUACGAUGACAAUCUUCAAACUGUUACCACUGACACUGGAGGACAUUCGUACUGCCUCCCACUCACCCAUCAUGUGGAGAAGCUGAGGACUUUUCUGGCAACA
Long non-coding RNA from Tyto alba (common barn owl), 452 nucleotides. RefSeq lists it as uncharacterized. The record is from RefSeq and is a predicted model, not a curated record. NCBI's taxonomy places the organism in Eukaryota, Metazoa, Chordata, Aves, Strigiformes, Tytonidae. The transcript is spliced from 3 exons.